Molecule: unclassified non-coding RNA, 3619 nt
Filed under: Yarrowia lipolytica
Lineage: Eukaryota; Fungi; Ascomycota; Dipodascomycetes; Dipodascales
Source: RNAcentral
CGAUAACCUGUCACCAACAUCGGAGACCGAAGAGUGACGUCAGACCAGCGUCGCCGAGGAAAUGACCUAGACGGAGGUGGUCGAUCACAAAAGUUGCUGCGGAAGAGGGUUGGCCCAGUAGUGGCGUGGAACUGCACAAAAGGAAAUAACGUCUCUUGGCUGCUCACAAGUGUGCACAGAGCAAGACAGCUGAAACCACAGUCACCAGGGUGGCAGAAACAUCCUAUUAGCCUGGUUGCAGUCAACUCGGAAGCCCUCAACUGCCAUACUCAUGCCCAAACCCACUCCAGCCCAAAACCCGCCCGCUUGUCCACAACUCUGAACCCAAGUGUGAAAGCAUCGUUUCGAGCGUGGAGCGCCGUAAGUUUACUGCAGUCUGCUGUCGAGCAAGCAAACAUAGCCUGGACGAAACUGCCUUCGGACCCUUCGGGUGGUUCGGAUUGGGACACAAACACAAUGCGAGCAAACUCGUACUAUUGACUCAAAGCGGCAGGCGACAUGAAGGGUGAUUAUAGCAUCAGGGUACAGCGUCUGGUGUGAAGAAGAGAGAUUGACACCGUUCAGGUUAUGAGGUUUGUAUAGCCCGAUGAAGUUUUUCUCCACUCAUAAUGCAGAAGUGCCGUCACUGUCUGUACUGUCACAUCUCACGAUACUCAUAGGUGUACAGCACUGUCGCUCGGGACAGGCUGUGAUCAACAUCAUACUCGUCCCGAAGUUUUGACAUCAGUGACUCCGGAAAUCUUCCAAUAACACCAUCACCUCCCUCAAGUGUAUACCACCGGUGGCAUGGAGAGCAUGUCGCAUUCCAAAACAACAACAGGUCUCCUAUCGCACCACCAAGCUCCCUUUACCACCGUCGAGACCUGUCGUGCAUCACCGGAGAUGAACGAAAUAAACGAUGAAAGGUAUAUCUAUCAGCAGACUCCUUUCCUGAUCACAUUUAUGCAAUCUCCAAAAACUCAGACACCGCUCUCAUAAUCCUAGAAGCAGAAUCCAACACGCUCUUCAGGCCCAGUACUUUACUUUCGGCCAAGACGCUCCACACUUGCUCCUUCUCAUCCACUCUCUCACCUGGACACGUUGAUCCUCCUCCAUCUUAGCGCUGCUCUCCCAAUGUCGUGAAACUAUCCCAAGCGUGAGGGUUGUGGUAUCAUGGAGUCCUUGUCGCGACCAGGGCGAUAUCAGACUCCCUAGACAACGUCAAACGGAAUGUCUCACGCAUAUAGAGCCAGGGAAACAUAGCUCGGGAUAUCUAGAGUAUAUGUUGCAGAGCUGGCAACAUGGCGUAUUGGUUAAAGACCAAGUCGAACAGAUGGGGAACAAUGCGGAACAAUACAGAGAAGUGUCUCAAGUAGAUGUGUGUACCCAGCUGCUGAAAAAAUGUGUUAUGUGAAAAGUUGCACAUUGGAUUUUGUUUGGAUGGCGUGAGCAUGUCCAUUUAGAUGUCUUACUGUUGGACUGUAUAUCGUUAGAGGACUUGGGCCUAUCUGGACUGCCCUUACCUAUACCGAGAUUGUCUCUAGCUGCCUCUCUAUGUCCAGAAAUUCUUUACCGCGCACUCCAAAGCUGUUAUCUCGUACCAAACGGUCGUGUGGAGCUGAGAUUGAUACCCAGAGGGGAGUGUCGUUCUACGCGACAGCUGAGGAUGUUGUAUGGGGACAUGUUUCAAGCAUCGUUGUCGUCGCCGAUUGAACAUGUUGACUGUCUACUUGACAUAUGUUUCAAGGACGAAGUGAAUGAGAGUGUACGGAGGCGUUCUGUCGGCCGAUUGCGUGAUUGGAGUGGACUGAUGUGUGACUUGAUGGGUGCUGGAGAGAUUGUUUUAUAUCCAGGAGGUGUCGCCUGUGUUCUUCCGCAGAUUGUCAUUUGACGUGAUUUUGUCAGUGGGACUAUACCUGGUCGUUAAUGGACAUUAUUGGAUCCUGGAGAUGCAAAAUUGUUUGUUAUAACGACAACCGCCAAGUCCUUGUCGACCGUAUCUCUUCUGCGUUGGUUCUGUGUCGGUUCUCGGUUGCUUUUGGUCCUUUCCGAUGUUUCCAAGCGUCUGCUGUGUGUCAGGGCAUUGCAAGGGUUAGCGAGCGAGUGGGUGGGUGAGCGAGUGAAUGAGUGAAUGGGUCUGGUGGGUGAAUAUGAAUGAAAUCAGCAAAGACAGAGGCAAACUGAUACAGUAACAGAAACAAGAGAGACAGGAGGGAAGCACACACUGGCCAAACCAUUCGCUCUCAUGUCGGUGUCCAUUCCAGUGCCCAAACACCGUCCGUGAUGCUUGUUUGAAAGUCUAGUACACUGUCUUGGGUCAAACACACUCACCAGUAUGAGAUGGUAUCGAUACUCACUCGUCUUGGCCUUGUCGUUUGUUGAAGGCAUGGGCACUCAUCCAAGCGUCAGCUGUUGAACGGAUAGGCACAUCUGAGCCCUUGUCUUGUCAGUCGGCCAAACGUGCGUGUUCCGAAAAACAAAACAAAACCAUCCAUCGAGAAAGCCAUCCAGUCGAUCAGCCUGGAGAGUCUACCAAAGGCAUCAGUGGCAGUAGGAGAGCAUCCUAGCGGUUCUCUACACCCUCUAUGCCGUCUGCGUGGCUCAUUAGGUCACUUUGUUAGUGGAGCCAAAACGUUCACCUGUGAACGAAAGAGGGGGAUUUAUGAGCGAUGGGAAGUCCGGAGACACCAAUCGAAUCUACCAGGACACUCUUUAAUGCCAUGUGAGUCGACUGGAAGACUCUAUCGGACUCCCGCGCUCGUUUUUGACCCUCUGACGAAUUCUUCAUUUUUGCUUCACUGUUACGGAGAGCUGAAACCACCACCUCCAAGCCUUCCACAAGCAUCAGAAUACCCUCUGGACCCUCUAGAAACACUCCAGGGGCCCUCAGGACCCCAUUUAACAACUCACUGUCCACUUUUCCAACCACGACUGCCAUUGUUUGGGUCGUGAUGAUAUGUGCGGGAGAGGAGAGGUUGUCUUCACGGCAGAAAAGAGAGGUGGUGCAGUCACUAGGAAGACCCUACAACUCGCAAAACACGCAGCUAGCGUGUGCAAAAAAAUCGACUUGUCGCCACUAUUUCCGAAUUCUCGUCUUGUCGCUUCUUUAAUUCCAUUAAUUUCGAUUUAUUCCCAUAAUCCAAGUUAAUGCAGACACGCAACACACAGCGCCCUCACAGCCUUUGAAGCUACACUACAGGCAAGAGCAGUUCUCGGGCUUGCUGGCAAGUGAUUAUAAAACUGAAAAGAUAUUCCAACUCGGGGAGCCGGCACCGUUUACACAGAGACAUUACAUAAGCCGAUAGAGACAUUAUGACCCGCCAAAGAAACGGAGGUUUCACUCCCUGACAAGUCCGAAAGUUACACGUCAAUAGACAAGCGAAUACGGCAACAUAGUGCCAGGUUUCACAUGUGUUUGAAUUCAAAAGAGCCGGCUGAUGAGCUCUUUACGACUUUCCGACCUAUACGAACCUCGAAAGGUGCGUCGACGGACCGACACUCAGUAAUACGGGACAGAAACAAUUCAUCUGAGACCGUGCUUUAUUCUGCUCUGAGUUGGUGGUGUUGACAUAGCUACGGGAGACAGAUCGCGUGUGAAGUUCAUAGGCUACUGUACUGGAAACAAGUGUUUCAAGUUUGU